This 676-nucleotide long non-coding RNA is filed under the name Homo sapiens (human). RNAcentral's name for it is "non-protein coding HCG15:2". The record is from RNAcentral. Lineage: Eukaryota; Metazoa; Chordata; Mammalia; Primates; Hominidae.
AUCUCGGCUCACUGCAAGCUCUGCAUCCUGGGUUCACGCCAUUCUCCUGUUUCAGCCUCCAGGUAGCUGGGCCUACCGGCGCCCGCCACCACGCCCGGCUAAUUUUUUGUAUUUUUAGUAGAGACGGGGUUUCACCGUGUUAGCCAGGAUGGUCUCGAUCUCCUGACCUGGUGAUCCGCCCGCCUCGGCCUCCCAAAGUGCUGAGAUUACAGGCGUGAGCUACCGCGCCCCGCCAAUUUACCGUGCAGGAUUGCAAACACCAGAGAGAAAAUCAGUCUCUGGAAUGAUGCCUUUGAUGGACCAAGAUGCAGCUGAUGAAGCAUUGAACCAAUUAGCACCUAGCAGGAGGGCACCCUUGCUCUGUGUCCUUGAAGGUUAAAGCUGUCAAAAAGUGGUCUCCCUCAAGUUCGGCCAUCUUGCUCUCAGAGAUCUAGAACUGGACUCAGUCAAAAUUUUGGGCCAAGGAGACCGACGCGCUGUCGCCUGCACUAAGAGAAACGCAACGAACAACUUUGUCAAUGCAUUGCAUUAUACUAUAGCAGCAACUAUACUUUUAAAUGAUUCGAAUCUUGAGGUUUCAAACUGAACCGUCUUGUGCCUUUUGCCCGGCGGGCAUUUCUGCGGGGACCGCGGGUCACCUUCUGAAUUUUUACCUUCAUAAACAGCAAGGACUGCG